Long non-coding RNA from Mauremys mutica (yellowpond turtle), 529 nucleotides. RefSeq lists it as uncharacterized. The transcript is spliced from 4 exons. NCBI's taxonomy places the organism in Eukaryota, Metazoa, Chordata, Testudines, Geoemydidae. The record is from RefSeq and is a predicted model, not a curated record.
GACUAGGGUCUGGAGGAGGCUGGGUACUCCAGGGGAACCAAACAAGGAGUCCAGUGCUCCAUAGCAGAAUCAAAGUCUCUCACAGGUACCCUGGAGAAGGGAAGAAAAACUGCUAGCUGAUGACAGCCCUGAAACAGAAACAUUUGAGAAGGCUUCUUUAUCUGCAGUUUUGGGGUCACAGUACAUGAGCUCUUCUGCAUUGGCAUCUCUGCCACUGGAACCUCUGGGGCACUGCCCCACUCAGAUAAAAGAAGAAAUAAAAUCACAUUUGAAUGGUGAUGAAACCUCAUCAUGAUGCAAUGAGACAAAAGCAACAAAUCCCACCAUCAGUAUAGUAAAUAUACAUCCAACAAGAGGCUAGACUGUGCUAUUUAGAUACAGCCUUACAACGGGGAUGGCAUAGAGGCCUCAGCCAGGCAGAAAGCCUUCUGUAACUCUUGAGCAUGCAAACUCUUUGUGCCUGCUACUUACAACCCUUUCAACCUGCUCUCUUCACCCUGUGAGACUGGACAUGAGACAUGAUUUCAGA